GGAAGAGGUAAAGCACAAUUAACGGCACUAGCGGUCUUAUCUUACAGAAAUUGCAGCCUCUAUCGCCACCCCUUUUGUGGAAAGGGUCCUGCCUGUAAAAGCAUGAAAAUGCAUCCUCCUGGGUUGCUGUUUUUCUUCUUAGCAGCAUGCUUCACUCCUACAGCUGACUGCCAGAGUCAGAAGCUGUUUUCUUCCUCUUUCCUCCUGCCUGUUGCUGCUGAC
RNAcentral lists this long non-coding RNA (222 nucleotides) under Aquila chrysaetos chrysaetos. Its description in RNAcentral is "lncRNA (ENSACCG00020011095.1)". The record is from RNAcentral. Lineage: Eukaryota; Metazoa; Chordata; Aves; Accipitriformes; Accipitridae.